ACAAACUUGGUCAUUUAGAGGAAGUAAAAGUCGUAACAAGGUUUCCGUAGGUGAACCUGCGGAAGGAUCAUUAUUGAAUGUAUUGAAAACUUGUUGUUGCUGGUGAUUGACUUUCACAUUUGUGCACGCAGUUCUUCAUAUCAUCCACACACACACACCUUAUGUGAACUCAUGUGGACGGAAGGGUUUUAUUACCUGGAACUCCAUUUUUACUACACACACGUUGAUUGACUUUUGUAUUGUGGGCUUAAUGAUAAUAAUAAAACAACUUUCAACAACGGAUCUCUUGGCUCUCGCAUCGAUGAAGAACGCAGC
RNAcentral lists this unclassified non-coding RNA (315 nucleotides) under uncultured fungus. Its description in RNAcentral is "partial contains small subunit ribosomal RNA, internal transcribed spacer 1, and 5.8S ribosomal RNA". The stretch from base 1 to 73 matches the Rfam family "Eukaryotic small subunit ribosomal RNA", at positions 1759 to 1831 of the family's 1831-position model. The record is from RNAcentral. Lineage: Eukaryota; Fungi.